This 745-nucleotide small RNA is filed under the name Pan troglodytes (chimpanzee). RNAcentral's name for it is "processed transcript". Lineage: Eukaryota; Metazoa; Chordata; Mammalia; Primates; Hominidae. The record is from RNAcentral.
AAACGCUCCCCCCGCGCGGCGGACACAGCUCCAGGCUGGUACCGCGCGCACACGGACGCCUCGCAGGACCUGGGCUAAUAAGGAGAGGAGAUCGGCACGGUAUAGCUGUGGACCAACUGUAUAUGAUCAUGCGCACCUUGGCCAUGCUUGCUCAUAUGUUAGAUUUGAUAUCAUUCGAAGGAUCCUAACCAAGGUUUUUGGAUGCAACAUAGUCAUGGUGAUGGGUAUUACAGAUGUAGAUGAUAAAAUCAUCAAAAGAGCCAAUGAGGCAUGAGUCAAAGGAAUGGUGUGAGGUCCUUGAACAUUUUCACUGAGAUGAAUAUUUCCCCCGCUUCCCUCGCCAGUCUUUAUGAGGAAGACUUCAAGCAGGACAUGGCAGCCCUGAAGGUUCUCCCACCCACGGUGUACCUGAGGGUAACCGAAAAUAUUCCUCAGAUAAUUUCUUUCAUUGAAGGAAUCAUUGCUCGUGGGAACGCUUAUUCAACGGCAAAAGGCAAUGUCUACUUCGAUCUGAAGUCUAGAGGAGACAAGUAUGGCAAAUUGGUCGGCGUGGUCCCUGGUCCAGUCGGAGAGCCAGUGGACUCUGACAAGCGUCAUGCCAAUGACUUCGCCCUGUGGAAGGCGGCCAAACCCCAGGAGGUGUUCUGGGCCUCUCCCUGGGGACCCGGGAGGCCGGGCUGGCACAUCGAGUGCUCUGCCAUCGCUAGUAUGGUAUUUGGAAAUCAACUGGAUAUCCAUUCAGGUG